RNAcentral lists this long non-coding RNA (283 nucleotides) under Pan troglodytes (chimpanzee). RNAcentral describes it as "long non-coding RNA NONPTRT000802". Lineage: Eukaryota; Metazoa; Chordata; Mammalia; Primates; Hominidae. The record is from RNAcentral.
CAGAUGCUGUCCACCACCGUUAUCGGGUGUGUGAAAACCCUCGUUCCUUGCUGUUUAUAUCAGCACAAGGCCCGGCUUUCCUACCCACCCAACUUCCUUAUGACGAUGCUGUUUGUGGGUCUGAUGAGGUUUGCAACUGUGGUUUUGGGUUUGGUCAGCCUGAAAAAUGUGGCGGUUUCGUUUGCUGAGACGGUGAAGAGCUCCGCCCCCAUCUUCACGGUGAUCAUGUCUCGGAUGAUUCUGGGGGAGUACACAGGUGAGGCCCCCGGGCCCCGCCCAUCCG